RNAcentral lists this ribosomal RNA (252 nucleotides) under uncultured bacterium. RNAcentral's name for it is "partial 16S ribosomal RNA". It matches the Rfam family "Bacterial small subunit ribosomal RNA", at positions 524 to 776 of the family's 1533-position model. The record is from RNAcentral.
UACGGAGGAUCCAAGCGUUAUCCGGAAUCAUUGGGUUUAAAGGGUCCGUAGGCGGUUUGGUAAGUCAGUGGUGAAAGCCCAUCGCUCAACGGUGGAACGGCCAUUGAUACUGCCAGACUUGAAUUAUUAGGAAGUAACUAGAAUAUGUAGUGUAGCGGUGAAAUGCUUAGAGAUUACAUGGAAUACCAAUUGCGAAGGCAGGUUACUACUAAUGGAUUGACGCUGAUGACGAAAGCAUGGGUAGCGAACAGG